This 482-nucleotide ribosomal RNA is filed under the name uncultured bacterium. RNAcentral's name for it is "partial 16S ribosomal RNA". It matches the Rfam family "Bacterial small subunit ribosomal RNA", at positions 28 to 523 of the family's 1533-position model. The record is from RNAcentral.
AGUGAACGUUGGCGGCGUGGAUUAGGCAUGCAAGUCGAGCGGGAACCGUAGCAAUACGGGGACAGCGGCGAAAGGGACAGUAAUGUGUAGGUACCUACCUCCGGGUUCGGGAUAGCUGCGGGAAACUGCAGGUAAUACCGAAUGACGUCUCCGGACCAAAGGCGUGCUUCCACCUGGAGAGGGGCCUGCAUCCUAUUAGCCUGUUGGCGGGGUAACGGCCCACCAAGGCGACGAUGGGGAGCGGGUGUGAGAGCACGACCCGCGUCAUUGGGACUGAGACACUGCCCAGACACCUACGGGUGGCUGCAGUCGAGGAUCUUCGGCAAUGGGCGCAAGCCUGACCGUGCGACGCCGCGUGCGGGAUGAAGGCCUUCGGGUUGUAAACCGCUGUCGUAGAGGAGGAAAUGCAGGGGGGUUCUCCCCCCUGUUUGACCUAUUCUAGGAGGAAGGACGGGCUAAGUUCGUGCCAGCCGCCGCGGUAA